GACAUCCUGGAGAGCGGCGGGCGGACAGCCAGGCGCAACGCCUCCAUCUCUCGCCUCUACAUCCUCUACCAGAUUGUCUACAUGGCGGCCUCCAUAAUGGGCCCCGCAACUGUCUGUCUGAUGAUCGCCGGUGCAUUUACCUUCGUCUUCAAGAUGUCCGAGGUAUGGGCAUUAGUGCUCGCCAUUCUUCCUCCAGCCAUCUACAUCAUCAUCUGCUUCAAGACCAAGUCUAGCACACAGAUCACAGUCGCGAUGGUGAUGAGCGUCUUCUACGUAUUCACUCAUGACGGGCACGAUAAUCUCCAUCGUGGGCGAGAUGAUGUUGUCAUCAUCAUCACAACCAUCAUCAUCACAACAUCACAACCAUCAUCAUCAUCACCUGUUACACUCACCCUGUCACACACACACACAUAGGUCGCGAUGGUGAUGAGCGUCUUCUACGUAUUCCUCAUGACUGGCACGAUACUGUCCAUCGUGGGCGAGAUGAUGUUGUCAUCAUCAUCACAACCAUCAUCAUCAUCAUCACAACAUCACAACCAUCAUCACCUGUUACACCCACCCUGUCACACACACAGGUAGCGAUGGUGAUGAGCGUCUUCUACGUAUUCCUGAUGACUGGCACGCUACUGACCAUCGUGGGCGAGAUGAUGUUGUCAUCAUCAUCACAACCAUCAUCAUCAUCACAACAUCACAACCAUAAUCAUCAUCAUCAUCACAACCACCAUCAUCAUCAUCACCUGUUACACUCACCCUGUCACACACACACACACACAUAGGUCGCGAUGGUGAUGAGCGUCUUCUACGUAUUCCUCAUGACGGGCACUAUACUGUCCAUCGUGGGCGAGAUGAUGUUGUCAUCACAACCAUCAUCAUCACAACCAUCAUCAUCAUCACCUGUUACACCCACCCUGUCACACACACAGGUAACGAUGGUGAUGAGCGUCUUCUACGUAUUCCUGAUGACGGGCACGCUACUGUCCAUCGUGGGCGAGAUGAUGUUGUCAUCAUCAUCACAACCAUCAUCACAACCAACAUCAUCACAACCAUCACCAUCAUCAUCACCUGUUACACCCACCCUGUCACACACACACACAGGUAGCGAUGGUGAUGAGCGUCUUCUACGUAUUCCUCAUGACGGGCACGAUACUGUCCAUCGUGGGCGAGAUGAUGUUGUCAUCAUCAUCACAACCAUCAUCAUCAUCACAACAUCACAACCAUCAUCAUCAUCACCUGUUACACUCCCCCUGUCACACACACACAGGUAGCGAUGGUGAUGAGCGUCUUCUACGUAUUCCUGAUGACGGGCACGAUAAUCUCCAUCGUGGGCGAGAUGAUGUUAUCAUCAUCAUCACAACCAUCAUCAUCACAACCACCAUCAUCAUCACCUGUUACACCCACCCUGUCACACACACACACAAACACAGGUCGCGAUGGUGAUGAGCGUCUUCUACUUAUUCCUGAUGACUGGCACGCUACUGUCCAUCGUGGUGCGAGAUGAUGUUGUCAUCAUCACAACCAUCAUCAUCACCUGCUACACCACCACCUCCACCCUGUCACACACACAGGUAGCGAUGGUGAUGAGCGUCUUCUACGUAUUCCUCAUGACUGGCACGCUAAUCUCCAUCGUGGGCGAGAUUAUCAUCAUCACAACCAUCAUCAUCACAACCAUAAUCAUCAUCAUCAUCACAACCACCAUCAUCAUCAUCACCUGUUACACCCACCCUGUCACACACACACACACACAUAGGUCGCGAUGGUGAUGAGCGUCUUCUACGUAUUCACUCAUGACGGGCACGAUAAUCUCCAUCGUGGGCGAGAUGAUGUUAUCAUCAUCAUCACAACCAUCAUCAUCACAACCAUCAUCAUCAUCACCUGUUACACCCACCCUGCCACACACACACCACAAACACAGGUCGCGAUGGUGAUGAAGCGUCUUCUACGUAUUCCUCAUGACGGGCACGAUACUGUCCAUCGUGGGCGAGAUGAUGUUGUCAUCAUCAUCACAACCAUCAUCAUCAUCACAACAUCACAACCAUCAUCAUCAUCAUCACCUGCUACACCACCACCUCCACCCUGUCACACACACAGGUCGCGAUGGUGAUGAGCGUCUUCUACGUAUUCCUCAUGACGGGCACGAUACUGUCCAUCGUGGACGAGAUGACGUUGUCAUCAUCACAACCAUCAUCAUCACAACCAUCAUCAUCAUCAUCACCUGUUACACCCACCCUGUCACACACACACACACACUAGGUCGCGAUGUGA
Molecule: non-coding RNA, 2262 nt
Organism: Petromyzon marinus (sea lamprey)
Lineage: Eukaryota; Metazoa; Chordata; Hyperoartia; Petromyzontiformes; Petromyzontidae
Source: RefSeq, a predicted model, not a curated record